GACGAACGCUGGCGGCGUGCCUAAUACAUGCAAGUAGAACGCUGAAGAGAGGAGCUUGCUCUUCUUGGAUGAGUUGCGAACGGGUGAGUAACGCGUAGGUAACCUGCCUGGUAGCGGGGGAUAACUAUUGGAAACGAUAGCUAAUACCGCAUAAAAUUGAUUAUUGCAUGAUAAUUAAUUGAAAGAUGCAACUGCAUCACUACCAGAUGGACCUGCGUUGUAUUAGCUAGUUGGUGAGGUAACGGCUCACCAAGGCGACGAUACAUAGCCGACCUGAGAGGGUGAUCGGCCACACUGGGACUGAGACACGGCCCAGACUCCUACGGGAGGCAGCAGUAGGGAAUCUUCGGCAAUGGGGGGAACCCUGACCGAGCAACGCCGCGUGAGUGAAGAAGGUUUUCGGAUCGUAAAGCUCUGUUGUAAGAGAAGAACGGGUGUGAGAGUGGAAAGUUCACACUGUGACGGUAUCUUACCAGAAAGGGACGGCUAACUACGUGCCAGCAGCCGCGGUAAUACGUAGGUCCCGAGCGUUGUCCGGAUUUAUUGGGCGUAAAGCGAGCGCAGGGCGGUUAGAUAAGUCUGAAGUUAAAGGCUGUGGCUUAACCAUAGUAUGCUUUGGAAACUGUUUAACUUGAGUGCAGAAGGGGAGAGUGGAAUUCCAUGUGUAGCGGUGAACUGCGUAGAUAUAUGGAGGAACACCGGUGGCGAAAGCGGCUCUCUGGUCUGUAACUGACGCUGACGCUCUAAGGUGUGGGGAGCAAACGUGAUUAGAUACCCUGGUAGUCCACGCCGUAAACGAUGAGUGCUAGGUGUUAGGCCCUUUCCGGGGCUUAGUGCCGCAGCUAACGCAUUAAGCACUCCGCCUGGGGAGUACGACCGCAAGGUUGAAACUCAAAGGAAUUGACGGGGGCCCGCACAAGCGGUGGAGCAUGUGGUUUAAUUCGAAGCAACGCGAAGAACCUUACCAGGUCUUGACAUCCCUCUGACCGCUCUAGAGAUAGAGUUUUCCUUCGGGACAGAGGUGACAGGUGGUGCAUGGUUGUCGUCAGCUCGUGUCGUGAGAUGUUGGGUUAAGUCCCGCAACGAGCGCAACCCCUAUUGUUAGUUGCCAUCAUUGAGUUGGGCACUCUAGCGAGACUGCCGGUAAUAAACCGGAGGAAGGUGGGGAUGACGUCAAAUCAUCAUGCCCCUUAUGACCUGGGCUACACACGUGCUACAAUGGCUGGUACAACGAGUCGCAAGCCGGUGACGGCAAGCUAAUCUCUGAAAGCCAGUCUCAGUUCGGAUUGUAGGCUGCAACUCGCCUACAUGAAGUCGGAAUCGCUAGUAAUCGCGGAUCAGCACGCCGCGGUGAAUACGUUCCCGGGCCU
RNAcentral lists this ribosomal RNA (1370 nucleotides) under uncultured bacterium. Its description in RNAcentral is "bacterial SSU rRNA". It matches the Rfam family "Bacterial small subunit ribosomal RNA", at positions 28 to 1381 of the family's 1533-position model. The record is from RNAcentral.